GAUGAACGCUGGCGGCGUGCCUAACACAUGCAAGUCGAGCGAACCUUUCGGGGUGAGCGGCGGACGGGUGAGUAACGCGUGGGUAACCUGCCCUGUACACACGGAUAACAUACCGAACGGUAUGCUAAUACGGGAUAACAAAUGAGAGUCGCAUGGCUUUCAUAUCAAAGCUCCGGCGGUACAGGAUGGACCCGCGUCUGAUUAGCUAGUUGGUAAGGUAACGGCUUACCAAGGCAACGAUCAGUAGCCGACCUGAGAGGGUGAUCGGCCACAUUGGAACUGAGACACGGUCCAAACUCCUACGGGAGGCAGCAGUGGGGAAUAUUGCACAAUGGGCGAAAGCCUGAUGCAGCAACGCCGCGUGAGCGAUGAAGGCCUUCGGGUCGUAAAGCUCUGUCCUCAAGGAAGAUAAUGACGGUACUUGAGGAGGAAGCCCCGGCUAACUACGUGCCAGCCGCCGCUGUAA
RNAcentral lists this ribosomal RNA (466 nucleotides) under uncultured bacterium. RNAcentral's name for it is "partial 16S ribosomal RNA". It matches the Rfam family "Bacterial small subunit ribosomal RNA", at positions 28 to 523 of the family's 1533-position model. The record is from RNAcentral.